This 104-nucleotide small RNA is filed under the name human gut metagenome. RNAcentral describes it as "RT-5 RNA". It matches the Rfam family "RT-5 RNA". From Rfam's summary of the family: Clostridium (Firmicutes). The record is from RNAcentral.
UGCGCCUGCGGCGGGUAAAGCAGAUUCCAGAUACGGCUUUGCAGGCAGCCGGGAUCUGUUCAGUCCGGUAGAAUCAAGCACGCUUUGAUUCCUUCAAAGUUUUU